Sycon ciliatum is the source of this 982-nucleotide long non-coding RNA. RefSeq lists it as uncharacterized. NCBI's taxonomy places the organism in Eukaryota, Metazoa, Porifera, Calcarea, Leucosolenida, Sycettidae. The transcript is spliced from 2 exons. The record is from RefSeq and is a predicted model, not a curated record.
ACUAUAAAACUGCUGACGUGGCCGUGGACAUGUACAUGGAGAGUCAUGGUGGGACUUCAUGUACAUGUGGGAAUUCCUUCCGGCACCCCCGUACCGCAAAGCCAACGGUGGGGAAGGAGAAGUGCAGACGUGCAGGAAGACGAACGAGGAGGAACCAGGACGAGCGAGCAAUGGCAGGACUAGCUGGACCGUAAGUAAUAGCUGAAUUGUGCAUGACAACUUGACAUCCAUGCGGCACUCGCCACUUGCCACUGCAUAUUUCUUGUCCACUAACAAUGUCUCUCCUCUGCCCCCUGUGUGUCCACGGCCCUGUUGCUGAAUUGGCCCGAUGAAUCGAAUGUCUUCCGCAACUGGAACGGCCCCGUGAACGCUGUCGCGUCGGCGACUGAAUGCGCAGGAGGGAAAAUAUUGCUGCGAAGACGUCUCCUCUAGACGACGGUAUAUCAUCCCGUGACGACCACAUUGAAGUCUGAAUUUGAAGUGUGAAGAUGCUUCAGCAACCACAUCGUACUUUUCCAUUGCUUUCAUUGUGCUUCUACUGUGCAUGUGUGUAACUUGUGGGGUAAACAUGUGAUGACAUUGUAUGCUGGCGACACGGUCAGAUGUUCAUGCGUCUAACGUACACCUGCAUGUUAUGCAUUGAAAAGGGUUUGCCACUUGCGAUCCUGGGACGAGUAUCAGGUCCGCUUUGUCCUGUGUGGGCUGUAUCAGAUUGCUGUUCACUUCUCUAUCUGUUGGAUAUGUGACUUUCUGCAAGUUUCUGGUGUAUGAUGGCCACGUCCUUGCUUGUCACUUUGUAUGAUAUUACAUUCUGUAUUCGCUGCUUCCAUGGCAUGGUCUGCAAACUGCAAUCAUUGGGCAAAUGUCAUGUUUGCUAUGUUGUGCUUUGGCCGUCAGCUUGUCUACACGCUGUAGUUGAAUUAUUUUUGUUUCACAACUGACUUCCUCAAGUACGGUGGCCACUGCUUUGCAUGGCAUUAUA